AACGAACGCUGGCGGCAUGCCUAACACAUGCAAGUCGAACGAGACCUCCGGGUCUAGUGGCGCACGGGUGGGGAACGCGUGGGAACUUACCCUUAGGUUCGGAAUAACUCACUGAAAGGGGUGCUCAUACCGGAUAAUGUCUUCGGACCAAAGAUUUAUUGCCUUUGGAUGGGGCCGCGUUGGAUUAGCGGGUUGGUAGGGUAAAAGCCUACAAAGGCGACGAUCCAUCGCUGGUCUGAGAGGAGGAUCAGCCACACUGGGACAGGGACGCGUCCCAGACUCCUGCGAGCGGCAGCAGUGGUGAAUAAGGGACAAGGGGCGAGAGCCUGAUCCAGCAAGGCCGCGUGGGUGAUGAGUGCGUUAGGAAUGUAAAGCGCCUGUACCCGGGAUGAUAAGACCAUAACCGGUAAAAAAGCCCCGGCCAACUUCGUG
RNAcentral lists this ribosomal RNA (432 nucleotides) under uncultured bacterium. RNAcentral's name for it is "partial 16S ribosomal RNA". It matches the Rfam family "Bacterial small subunit ribosomal RNA", at positions 29 to 507 of the family's 1533-position model. The record is from RNAcentral.